ACGAACGCUGGCGGCGUGCUUAACACAUGCAAGUCGAACGGAAAGGCCCUGCUUUUGUGGGGUGCUCGAGUGGCGAACGGGUGAGUAACACGUGAAUAACCUGCCCUUGACUUUGGGAUAACUUCAGGAAACUGGGGCUAAUACCGGAUAGGAGCUCCUGCUGCAUGGUGGGGGUUGGAAAGUUUCGGCGGUUGGGGAUGGACUCGCGGCUUAUCAGCUUGUUGGUGGGGUAGUGGCUUACCAAGGCUUUGACGGGUAGCCGGCCUGAGAGGGUGACCGGCCACAUUGGGACUGAGAUACGGCCCAGACUCCUACGGGAGGCAGCAGUGGGGAAUAUUGCACAAUGGGCGGAAGCCUGAUGCAGCAACGCCGCGUGCGGGAUGACGGCCUUCGGGUUGUAAACCGCUUUCGCCUGUGACGAAGCGUGAGUGACGGUAAUGGGUAAAGAAGCACCGGCUAACUACGUG
This 467-nucleotide ribosomal RNA is filed under the name uncultured bacterium. RNAcentral describes it as "partial 16S ribosomal RNA". It matches the Rfam family "Bacterial small subunit ribosomal RNA", at positions 29 to 507 of the family's 1533-position model. The record is from RNAcentral.